GGCCGGUUAGCUCAGUUGGUCAGAGCGUCGUGCUAAUAUGUUAAUGAAGGUCGCGGGUUCGAUGCCCGUACUGGCCA
RNAcentral lists this transfer RNA (77 nucleotides) under Dallia pectoralis (Alaska blackfish). Its description in RNAcentral is "tRNA-OTHER". It matches the Rfam family "tRNA". From Rfam's summary of the family: Transfer RNA (tRNA) molecules are approximately 80 nucleotides in length. Their secondary structure includes four short double-helical elements and three loops (D, anti-codon, and T loops). Further hydrogen bonds mediate the characteristic L-shaped molecular structure. tRNAs have two regions of fundamental functional importance: the anti-codon, which is responsible for specific mRNA codon recognition, and the 3' end, to which the tRNAs corresponding amino acid is attached (by aminoacyl-tRNA synthetases). tRNAs cope with the degeneracy of the genetic code in two manners: having more than one tRNA (with a specific anti-codon) for a particular amino acid; and 'wobble' base-pairing, i.e. permitting non-standard base-pairing at the 3rd anti-codon position. Lineage: Eukaryota; Metazoa; Chordata; Actinopteri; Esociformes; Umbridae. The record is from RNAcentral.